CCUCUCGAAGAUGAAGAAUUGAUUGCCUACAUGCUGCACGGACUCGGGAGCGAGUACAACCCCUGGUGACAAGCAUCACCACCCGUGCUGACUCAUACACCAUCAGCGACAUCUACGCCCACAUGCUUAGGUUCGAAA
Phragmites australis (common reed) is the source of this 138-nucleotide small nucleolar RNA. RefSeq annotates it as small nucleolar RNA Z247. The record is from RefSeq and is a predicted model, not a curated record. The transcript has a single exon. Lineage: Eukaryota; Viridiplantae; Streptophyta; Magnoliopsida; Poales; Poaceae.